Molecule: ribosomal RNA, 619 nt
Filed under: uncultured Ascomycota
Lineage: Eukaryota; Fungi; Ascomycota
Description: eukaryotic LSU rRNA
Rfam family: 5.8S ribosomal RNA (bases 263-417)
Source: RNAcentral
CAUUACCGAGUUAGGGUCUCCUCCGUGAGGCCCGACCUCCCAACCCCGUGUCUAAUAAACCACUUUGUGUUGCUUCGGCGGAACGGCAGUCACCCACCCCCCCCUUAACCCGGAGGGAGGGAGACCGUCGCCGGGGGAUUUCACGGUCUCGCGACCGCCCCUGGAGAGCGUCCGCCGAUGGCCCCAACCAAAUAACUACCAAACCCAAAUUGUAAUUAAAAAAUUUCUGAAUCAGACCUUUUGAUAUACCAAUCAAAAACAAAACUUUCAACAACGGAUCUCUUGGUUCUGGCAUCGAUGAAGAACGCAGCGAAAUGCGAUAAGUAAUGCGAAUUGCAGAAUUUCCGUGAGUCAUCGAAUCUUUGAACGCACAUUGCGCCCUUUGGCAUUCCGAAGGGCAUGCCUGUUCGAGCGUCAUUAUCCUCUCUCAAACCCCCGGGUUUGGUGUUGGACCGCGUUGGCCUUUUACCGGCCAACUGGUCUCAAAGACAAUGACGGCGUCCCAGGGACCCUCUUCGCACUGAGCUUUCCGGAGCACGCGUAGAGUUUCAAGGGCCCAGGGACCCGGUCGCCUCUAAAAACUUUUUUCAGGUUGACCUCGGAUCAGGUAGGAAUACCC